Molecule: long non-coding RNA, 638 nt
Organism: Juglans microcarpa x Juglans regia
Lineage: Eukaryota; Viridiplantae; Streptophyta; Magnoliopsida; Fagales; Juglandaceae
Exons: 2
Source: RefSeq, a predicted model, not a curated record
GCCCUCCAAGUUUCCGAAUACAGAUAAAUAAGUGCUCGCGAGAAAGCCAGAGAGUAUCGCUCUCCCACUCUUCAGUACUGCAGAUAAACGGCAGUCUUCACCUCUCUCUCUCUCUCUCUCUCUCUCUCUCUCGCUAGCUUCGACGCUAUUGAUACAGACUUGAAGAAAAUGAUGAUCGCAGAGCCGAAAGCGAAGAACGCAGAGAAUCAGAGACUACCUCCGAGGCGAGGCGGGGUCAUGCGCCGAAUAUUCAAAGGAAUCGCGGUAGCAAUUGGUGUCGUGGUGGUGGGUGGGGUCCGAGAAAAGCACGCCGAGGAGACUGGAGGCGGCUUUCUCAACUCGGAUUCCGCAACCCCAGCUCCAACUCCAACUGGGUAUAAUUCAGAUGCUCUUUCUGAAACAUGAUCACUCAGGUGUUGUUACAGAAUUUCUUCAUUUUUUAUAUUCUUUUUUUAUCCCCCCUUUUGGAAGUGAUUAAAAAUAAGAGUGGAGGAAGGGAUUUGGGUUGAAAGGGCUCAGGAUAUGUAUGGGAAUAUUGUGAAGAUCUUGUCCAGACAUGGCUCAUAUUUGUAAUUAGUUUGUAGUAGUUUAUGUUCAGCUGUUUCCCUAUCGAAUAUAAUUCGUUGAUUGUAAGAUUA